Molecule: ribosomal RNA, 507 nt
Filed under: uncultured bacterium
Lineage: Bacteria
Description: bacterial SSU rRNA
Rfam family: Bacterial small subunit ribosomal RNA
Source: RNAcentral
GAUGAACGCUAGCGGCAGGCCUAACACAUGCAAGUCGAGGGGUAACAGGAAGAAGCUUGCUUUUUUGCUGACGACCGGCGCACGGGUGCGUAACGCGUAUACAAUCUACCUUUUACUGGAGAAUAGCCCGGAGAAAUUCGGAUUAAUGCUCCAUAGUAUAACGAAUUCGCAUGUUUUUGUUAUUAAAGUUUCGACGGUAAAAGAUGAGUAUGCGUCCCAUUAGCUAGUUGGAGAGGUAACGGCUCACCAAGGCGACGAUGGGUAGGGGGCCUGAGAGGGUAGUCCCCCACACUGGUACUGAGACACGGACCAGACUCCUACGGGAGGCAGCAGUGAGGAAUAUUGGUCAAUGGACGCAAGUCUGAACCAGCCAUGCCGCGUGCAGGAUGACGGCCCUAUGGGUUGUAAACUGCUUUUAUUUAGGAAGAAACCUCUCUACGUGUAGAGAGCUGACGGUACUAAACGAAUAAGGACCGGCUAACUCCGUGCCAGCCGCCGCCGUAACAC